Molecule: non-coding RNA, 24 nt
Filed under: Mus musculus (house mouse)
Lineage: Eukaryota; Metazoa; Chordata; Mammalia; Rodentia; Muridae
Source: RNAcentral
UGCUCUGAGCAGGGUUCUGGGUCU